This 503-nucleotide ribosomal RNA is filed under the name uncultured bacterium. RNAcentral describes it as "partial 16S ribosomal RNA". It matches the Rfam family "Bacterial small subunit ribosomal RNA", at positions 30 to 523 of the family's 1533-position model. The record is from RNAcentral.
AUUGAACGCUGGCGGCGUGCCUAACACAUGCAAGUCGAGCGGUAACAGGCGUAGCAAUACGUGCUGACGAGCGGCGAACGGGUGAGUAAUGCUUCGGAAUCUGCCCAAUGGUGGGGAAUAACCAGCCGAAAGGUUGGCUAAUACCGCAUAAGUCCUACGGGAGAAAGCAGGGGAUCGCAAGACCUUGCGCCGAUGGAUGAGCCGAAGCCGGAUUAGCUAGUUGGUAGGGUAACGGCCUACCAAGGCGACGAUCCGUAGCUGGUCUGAGAGGACGACCAGCCACACUGGGACUGAGACACGGCCCAGACUCCUACGGGAGGCAGCAGUGGGGAAUAUUGGACAAUGGGGGAAACCCUGAUCCAGCGACGCCGCGUGUGUGAAGAAGGCCUUUUGGUAGUAAAGCACUUUAAGCGAGGAGGAGGCUCCUUUAGUUAAUACCUAAAGAGAGUGGACGUUACUCGCAGAAUAAGCACCGGCUAACUCUGUGCCAGCAGCCGCCGUAA